UACAGAGGUCUCAAGCGUUGUUCGGAUUCAUUGGGCGUAAAGGGUGUGUAGGUGGCGCCGUAAGUGGGGUGUGAAAUUUCGAGGCUUAACCUCGAAACUGCAUUCCAUACUGCGGUGCUUGAGGACUGGAGAGGAGACUGGAAUUUACGGUGUAGCGGUGAAAUGCGUAGAUAUCGUAAGGAAGACCAGUGGCGAAGGCGGGUCUCUGGACAGUUCCUGACACUGAGGCACGAAGGCCAGGGGAGCAAACGGG
Molecule: ribosomal RNA, 253 nt
Filed under: uncultured bacterium
Lineage: Bacteria
Description: partial 16S ribosomal RNA
Rfam family: Bacterial small subunit ribosomal RNA
Source: RNAcentral